RNAcentral lists this long non-coding RNA (290 nucleotides) under Zostera marina. RNAcentral's name for it is "long non-coding RNA (ZMAR_LNC005734)". Lineage: Eukaryota; Viridiplantae; Streptophyta; Magnoliopsida; Alismatales; Zosteraceae. The record is from RNAcentral.
UACGUAUUUAAAUAUCAAUAUUUUGUUUUUUUCCCCAUUACUAAUUCAUUUAUUUGUUGUCGGAUUACGAAACGUACAAAAAAAACAUUUGGAUAAACAACAAAUAAUAGAUGAAGACGAGGAGGAGUCAACAAACGAAGAAGAAAUGUCGACGCAAGGAGUCAACAAACAUUCAUUGAUGAUAGUCUGAAAGCUUGGAUUAAGGCUACAGGAGGCAAGACUAAAUGACGUAUUCUCGGAAUAAGACCAGGGGACGAUUCAUUGAUGCCAAAGAAAUCCAAAGUUAAAAU